GCUGCCGUAGUUUAAUGGAUAGAAUUGGGGUUUCCUAAACUCUCGAUGCAGGUUCGACUCCUGCCGGUGGCA
Molecule: transfer RNA, 72 nt
Filed under: Minisyncoccota bacterium
Lineage: Bacteria; Bacillati; Minisyncoccota
Description: tRNA-Arg
Rfam family: tRNA
About the family: Transfer RNA (tRNA) molecules are approximately 80 nucleotides in length. Their secondary structure includes four short double-helical elements and three loops (D, anti-codon, and T loops).
Source: RNAcentral